This 301-nucleotide ribosomal RNA is filed under the name uncultured bacterium. RNAcentral's name for it is "partial 16S ribosomal RNA". It matches the Rfam family "Bacterial small subunit ribosomal RNA", at positions 509 to 807 of the family's 1533-position model. The record is from RNAcentral.
CAGUAGCCACGGGAAUACGAAGGGGGCUAGCGUUGUUCGGAGUUACUGGGCGUAAAGGGCGCGUAGGCGGCCAUUCAAGUUAGAUGUGAAAGCCCUGGGCUCAACCUAGGAAUUGCAUUUGAUACUGUUUGGCUUGAGUUCGGGAGAGGUGAGUGGAAUUCCCAGUGUAGAGGUGAAAUUCGUAGAUAUUGGGAAGAACACCAGUGGCGAAGGCGGCUCACUGGACCGACACUGACGCUGAGGCGCGAAAGCGUGGGGAGCAAACAGGAUUAGAUACCCCUGUAGUCCCUGUCUCUUAUAC